Long non-coding RNA from Manis pentadactyla (Chinese pangolin), 490 nucleotides. RefSeq lists it as uncharacterized. The transcript has 2 exons. Lineage: Eukaryota; Metazoa; Chordata; Mammalia; Pholidota; Manidae. The record is from RefSeq and is a predicted model, not a curated record.
UUCAAGUUGAACUUAGAUUCAUUUUUUGGACAAACAGCUAUCACCAGGCUCGUUAGGCUUUUCACCUCUACCUACAAGUCUUCUCACUAUUUUGCCACAUAGAUGAGUGGGUUUUUUAAACUGCUCGUAGGUAGAGGUGAAAAGCCUAACGAGCCUGGUGAUAGCUGUUUGUCCAAAAAAUGAAUCUAAGUUCAACUUGAAAUAUACCUAAAAGCCUAAAAACUAUAAUGUAACUUUCAAGUAUAGUCUAAAAAGGUACAACUUUUUAGAAACAGAAUUAAAUCUUAAUUAGAGAGUAAAUAGUAUAAUAACCAUAGUUGGCCUAAAAGCAGCCAUCAAUUAAGAAAGCGUCAAAGCUCAACAAUAAAACAUAACUAAUACCACAAAUUAAAAUUAACUCCUAAACUAAUAUUGGACUAAUCUAUUAACAAAUAGAAGAAAUACUGUUAGUAUGAGUAACAAGAAAUAAAUCUCCUUGCACAAGCUUAUA